AACAUCGCGCACCUGCGGGAACCUGCGGAGGGAUCAUUACCGAGCGUUGCCCCCCUGAAAAAUGGGGGGUGCCUCCCGUCCUUUGCAGGCCCCUAGGGGCUCUCGAACCUUCUGCUUCGGCGGGCCACCCCGCCGGAACACCCUCCAAAACUUCUUGUCGAAACGGUUCCGUCCGAGGGCUUUUGAAAAUCUAGCCAAAACUUUUAACAAUGGAUCU
Molecule: unclassified non-coding RNA, 217 nt
Filed under: soil metagenome
Description: partial contains 5.8S ribosomal RNA, internal transcribed spacer 2, and large subunit ribosomal RNA
Source: RNAcentral